GGGAGGUUGAACAUCCUGCAUAGUGCUGCCAGGAAAUCCCUAUUUCAUACUAAGAGGGGAAUGGCUGGUUGCAUAUGUAGGAUGUCCCAUCUCCCAGCCCACUUCGUCA
Molecule: microRNA precursor, 109 nt
Filed under: Aotus nancymaae (Ma's night monkey)
Lineage: Eukaryota; Metazoa; Chordata; Mammalia; Primates; Aotidae
Description: microRNA 448 (ENSANAG00000014847.1)
Rfam family: mir-448 microRNA precursor family
Source: RNAcentral